This 253-nucleotide ribosomal RNA is filed under the name uncultured bacterium. RNAcentral describes it as "partial 16S ribosomal RNA". It matches the Rfam family "Bacterial small subunit ribosomal RNA", at positions 524 to 776 of the family's 1533-position model. The record is from RNAcentral.
GACGUAGGAUGCAAGCGUUGUCCGGAUUUAUUGGGCGUAAAGAGUUCGUAGGUGGUUUGUUAAGUCUGAUGUUAAAGACUGGGGCUCAACCUCGGGACUGCAUUGGAUACUGGCAGACUUGAGUGCGGUAGAGGCAAGUGGAAUUCCAGGUGUAGCGGUGAAAUGCGUAGAUAUCGGGAGGAACACCGGUGGCGAAGGCGGGUCUCUGGGCAGUAACUGACGCUGAGGAGCGAAAGCGUGGGGAGCGAACAGG